Molecule: ribosomal RNA, 433 nt
Filed under: uncultured bacterium
Lineage: Bacteria
Description: partial 16S ribosomal RNA
Rfam family: Bacterial small subunit ribosomal RNA
Source: RNAcentral
AACGAACGCUGGCGGCAGGCCUAACACAUGCAAGUCGAGCGAGGACUUCGGUCCUAGCGGCGGACGAGUGAGUAACGCGCGGGAACGUGCCCUUUGCUUCGGAAUAGCCCUGGGAAACUGGGAGUAAUACCGGAUGAGCCCUUUGGGGGAAAGAUUUAUCGGCGAAGGAUCGGCCCGCGUUGGAUUAGGUAGUUGGUGGGGUAAUGGCCUACCAAGCCGACGAUCCAUAGCUGGUUUGAGAGGAUGAUCAGCCACACUGGGACUGGGACACGGCCCAGACUACUACGGGAGGCAGCAGUGGGGAAUCUUAGACAAUGGGGGAAACCCUGAUCUAGCCAUGCCGCGUGAGCGAUGAAGGCCUUAGGGUUGUAAAGCUCUUUCAGCUGGGAAGAUAAUGACGGUACCAGCAGAAGAAGCCCCGGCUAACUCCGUG